Molecule: ribosomal RNA, 910 nt
Filed under: uncultured bacterium
Lineage: Bacteria
Description: bacterial SSU rRNA
Rfam family: Bacterial small subunit ribosomal RNA
Source: RNAcentral
ACGCUAGCGAUAGGCUUAACACAUGCAAGUCGAGGGGCAGCAUGGUCUUAGCUUGCUAAGACUGAUGGCGACCGGCGCACGGGUGCGUAACGCGUAUGCAACUUGCCUCACAGAGGGGGAUAACCCGUCGAAAGACGGACUAAUAACGCGUACACUCUAUGUUGGGCAUCCAAUGUAGAGGAAAUGAAAUUCGCUGUGAGAUAGGCAUGCGUCCCAUUAGCUAGUUGGUGAGGUAACGGCUCACCAAGGCGACGAUGGGUAGGGGAACUGAGAGGUUGAACCCCCACACUGGUACUGAGACACGGACCAGACUCCUACGGGAGGCAGCAGUGAGGAAUAUUGGUCAAUGGGCGAGAGCCUGAACCAGCCAAGUCGCGUGAAGGAUGACUGUCUUAUGGAUUGUAAACUUCUUUUAUACGGGAAUAACAAGAGUCACGUGUGACUCCCUGCAUGUACCGUAUGAAUAAGCAUCGGCUAACUCCGUGCCAGCAGCCGCGGUAAUACGGAGGAUGCGAGCGUUAUCCGGAUUUAUUGGGUUUAAAGGGUGCGUAGGCGGCCUGUUAAGUCAGCGGUGAAAUCUAGGAGCUUAACUCCUAAAUUGCCAUUGAUACUGGCGGGCUUGAGUGUAGAUGAGGUAGGCGGAAUGCGUGGUGUAGCGGUGGAAUGCAUAGAUAUCACGCAGAACUCCGAUUGCGAAGGCAGCUUACUAAGGUACAACUGACGCUGAAGCACGAAAGCGUGGGUAUCAAACAGGAUUAGAUACCCUGGUAGUCCACGCUGUAAACGAUGAUAACUGGGCGUAUGCGAUAUACAGUAUGCUCCUAAGCGAAAGCGUUAAGUUAUCCACCUGGGGAGUACGCCGGCAACGGUGAAACUCAAAGGAAUUGACGGGGGCCCGCACAAGCGGAGG